RNAcentral lists this ribosomal RNA (497 nucleotides) under uncultured bacterium. RNAcentral's name for it is "partial 16S ribosomal RNA". It matches the Rfam family "Bacterial small subunit ribosomal RNA", at positions 28 to 507 of the family's 1533-position model. The record is from RNAcentral.
GAUGAACGCUGGCGGCGUGCCUAAUACAUGCAAGUCGAGCGAACGGACGAGAAGCUUGCUUCUCUGAUGUUAGCGGCGGACGGGUGAGUAUCACGUGGAUAACCUACCUAUAAGACUGGGAUAACUUCGGGAAACCGUAGCUAAUACCGGAUAAUAUUUUGAACCGCAUGGUUCAAAAGUGAAAGGCGGUCUUGCUGUCACUUAUAGAUGGAUCCGCGCUGCAUUAGCUAGUUGGUAAGGUAACGGCUUACCAAGGCAACGAUGCAUAGCCGACCUGAGAGGGUGAUCGGCCACACUGGAACUGAGACACGGUCCAGACUCCUACGGGAGGCAGCAGUAGGGAAUCUUCCGCAAUGGGCGAAAGCCUGACGGAGCAACGCCGCGUGAGUGAUGAAGGUCUUCGGAUCGUAAAACUCUGUUAUUAGGGAAGAACAUAUGUGUAAGUAACUGUGCACAUCUUGACGGUACCUAAUCAGAAAGCCACGGCUAACUACGUG